Molecule: long non-coding RNA, 4079 nt
Organism: Dreissena polymorpha
Lineage: Eukaryota; Metazoa; Mollusca; Bivalvia; Myida; Dreissenidae
Exons: 4
Source: RefSeq, a predicted model, not a curated record
AUUAAGCCAUACAUUAUGUCAUUCUAUGACAUAUUAAGCAUUGCCUGUUUUUCAAGGAUGGGCAGAACAAGGCAUUCUCACUGCAUCAGAUGUACUAGGAUAUGUAUCAAUUUAACGGUAAUUCCAGCUGAAAAAUGUUGAUGUACAGAAGACACACUGGUCAGCCCAGGAAUCAUGUUCUGUGAAUAGCAAGAAUGUUACUUGAGCCAAGGAAUCAUGUUCUGUGAAUAGCAAGAAUGUUACUUGAGCCAGGGAAUCAUGUUCUGUGAAUAGCAAGAAUGUUACUUGAGUCAGGGAAUCAUGUUCUGUGAAUAGCAAGAAUGUUACUUGAGCCAGGGAAUCAUGUUCUGUGAAUAGCAAGAAUGUUACUUGAGCCAGGGAAUCAUGUUCUGUGAAUAGCAAGAAUGUUACUUGAGCCAGGGAAUCAUGUUCUGUGAAUAGCAAGAAUGUUACUUGAGCCAGGGAAUCAUGUUCUGUGAAUAGCAAGAAUGUUACUUCAGCCAGGGAAUCAUGUUCUGUGAAUAGCAAGAAUGUUACUUGAGCCAGACACUGAAACUGUACUAGCCUCAUUGUUGUCUAGGUGGAAGUGACUGGGGUUGAAAUAGUUGUCUAGUGGGCAGCAGAAAUGGAACCCUAGCCGGACGCUAGAAAUGUGCUGACAUCGAAUUUGUCAAGGUGGAAGUGACUGUGGUUGGAAUAGGUGUCUAGUGAGCAAUAACAAUGGAACUCAAGUCAGACACUUAACAUGUACUAACCGCCCUCCUGUUGAGGUGGAACUGACUGUGCCUUUAAUAGUUGUCUAGUGAGCAACAUAAAUGGAACUCUAGCCAGCUGCUAAACAAGUACUGACAUCCAAUUUGUCUAGAUGGAAAUGACUGUGGUUGGAAUAGUUGUUUAGUGUGCAGUGGAAAUAGAACUUAAGUUCCUGUAUUGACCUCACUCCAGUUUGGGUGGAAGUGCCCGUGCUUGGGAUAGCUGUCCAGUCAAGAAUUACAAGCCAAAUCUUGUCAGGAAAAAAGAAGUCGACGCCGCAGGAACAACGAGUUGUGAUGAGUGAAUUUGAAAAAUAUAUGCAUCUAAACAAAUUGCCUGGGAAGUCCAAAUGCGAGAUAUUGCUAAAAGAAAACCCGUGUUUAAGUAGAAGAAGUUGGAGAAAUAUCAAAGACUUCGUUCGAAAUAAGACAAAGACAUUUAUCAAGCAUCAGGAAAAUUAAAACGACUGAGGAAAGAACAAGAUGCAAGAACAAGAUGCUGUAUAUUUGAAUGCUGUAACUGGCAAUUUGCAAAAGUGUUUUGGAAACAAUCCAAAACUGACGAUAUCAUUAUGUAACAGUAAACAAUAUAUAACACUUUUUAACAAACAUUUGUUGAUUAGGCUGUUUGAAAUUUUGAACUAUAAAGUUAUAUUGUGAAACGAAUUUUGUCCAUGUUUCAUAUUCUGUAGGGAAAGUAUCUUUUCAGAAAUGGAGUAUGCUCAAUUAUUAAUUUUAAUAUAAAGUUAAGUAAUCGCAGUCUCGUUGAAGACAUUUUAUAAACAUGUUUGGCGACCGUCAUUUUCAAUAAAAUAAACAUGUAUGUUUUUUAAUUGCGGUUAUCAUUAUGCUUUAGAUAUAUGCAACAGAAUUUCAAACCCUUUUGGGUAGAUGUCUAAAAAAGCUUUUCAAUUUAUUGUAGUAAAUUAGAAGUAAAAGCAAAAUUGUUGUAUUAUUUACUUUUUUAUAAUCCAAAUAUAUUGAUAGGAAAUAAAAGUUUUACUUUAAGUCAUGUUUUGAUGCUUGAAUUUUCUGUAUAGGUGAUAUAUUCAAAAAUGGAACCGUUAUUUCUGUAGAUGAAUUGAGUGAAAUAUACAGUUUAACAAUAAAUUUUAUUAAUUAUAUAGGGGUGACAAGAGCAAUAGAUAAAUUUGUGAACAAAUGUUGUUUUACCCUGUCCUACCCAACAAAUGAUAAAACCCCUUUUCCCCCAUUAUUACAUCUCAUAUUAAAAAACUAAUCUGGUGCUAAAAGACUAGAUAAUAUUGAUAAUAAGAACAAUAAACAACCUUCAGUUAAAGCAAAAUGGGGUAUAAAACUCAAUACCAUAAUUAAUGAAAAUGAAUGGAACUGCGUUUUUGAACUACCCUUUUUAAUAACAAAUGAUGUAAAGGUACAGUGGUUCCAAUACAGAAUAAUUCAUAGAGUACUUGGAACAAAUAGUCUUUUGAGCAAAAUGAAAAUAACAAAUGAUCCAUUGUGCUCCUUUUGCAAACAAAGUGAGUAAAAUUUAGAAUAUUUAUUUUGGGAAUGUCAGAUAUCUAAAACAUUAAUUGAUGAGAUAUAACCAGGUUAAUUGUUGCCUUUUAUGAAUAAGAAAAGUUUUCUACUUGGGUAUUUAAAAAAAGUCGGCGAUAGCCACAAAUAAUGUUAUUUUGUUAAUCAAGCUAUACUUAUACAAGUGUAAAAUGAAUAAAUUCAUCCCAAACAGGAGCCAAAAAACACAUAAAGUAUGAAUAUGAUAACUUAUAAAAAAUAGCAAUUUCAAAUAAUAAUACAGAAUCCUUUGUCAGGGAAUGGGUAUUGUUUACUACCAUUGUAGACCAAACUUAGUAUUUAAAUUUAAUUAAAAUUGUUCUUUACAACUUUUUAUAAAUAUGCGUUUUGUUUUGUUUUAACUCACAGGACCAUGUUGACAUCUUUAAAGAAAUUAUAGGUAGAACCUUUGUGUCAUAAAUCACAAUUACAUGUAUAUUUUUUGUUUUUUUCUAUACAUUUUUUUUCAUCUGCAUAUGCAAACACUAUUUGCUUACUAUAAUUUAUACACACAGGUACUUAAAAUAUUUAUGUACGCUGGUAAAUGUCCUUAUUUUGAAAAUGUACCUAUUUUUGCUUUUUUAAGCUUCCUAUUCAUCUGAAUUUGCAUAUACUAAUUUCUUAUUACAAUUAAUACAUACUUUUAAUAUGUUUAUAUACUGAAAUAUCUAGUUUUUUACUUUUGUUCUCUAUAAAUACUUGUUUAAUGUUUUUCCAACACACAAUUGCAUGCAACUGUCUUAUAGUUACAGCAUUUUUUAAACUCUGAAUGUCUGUUGACACGAAGCUGUGUUUUUUCUCUUGUAAAUAUUUGUUAUGUAAAAGCUAACAAAGACAUGAUAUGGUUUGUGAUUUUGUUUAUAAACAAAAGUAAUAUAUACACUCUUAAGAGUAUAAUGUAUAAAUUAUAUGAUAAGCUUUUGUAGAAUAUUUAAGAAAACAAUUAAACAUGGUCUAAGGCAUUAAGCGUUUGCUCUAGAUGCUGUGUAUUAUGUGUCAGUCAUUCUGUCAUCUAUGAUAAAGGUACGGUGUGUUUUUAUGCUCCCUGAUCGAAUGAUCGGGGAUAUAUUGUUUUUGGCCUGUCUGUCUGUCAUCCAUUCAUGGAUUCAUUCAUUGGGUGUGUCCCAAAACUUUAACGUUGGUCAUAACUUUUGCAAUAUUGAAGAUAUCAACUUGAUAUUUGGCAUGCUUGUGUAUCUCAUGUGGCUUCACAUCUUGAGUGGUGAAAGGUCAAGGUCAUCCUUCAAGGUCAAAGGUUAAAUAUAUGGCUUCAAAGCGGCGUAGUAGGGGGCAUUUUGUUUCUGACAAACACAUCUCUUGUUUUCAAACUUCUAUGCAAAUUGCUUUGUUUUUGUAUGUCGCUAUCUACAACCAUAUAUAUAUAAAGUAUGACACUGUGACAUUAAUCGUUUGCAUGUGUACUUUUGUAUGUCACUGUCUAUAAUUAUACGAGUCGUGUUCUGAGAAAACUGGGCAUAAUGCAUGUGCGGAAAGUGUCGUCCCAGAUUAGCAUGUGCAGACUGCACAGGCUAAUCUGGGACAACACUUUUCGCACAUGCAUUAUGCCCAGUUUUCUCAGAACGCGACUCAUAUGAUAGUUUGUGUUGCAUAUGUACAUAAAUAUGUAGCUGUUUUCCUGUCUUGUAAUAAAACGUGUGCGGAAAAAAAAUAUACAUGUAUGCAUGUACAUGUAUGUUGCUUUAUUAUGUCUUUGCACAUGUACUCAUGUGAACAAUUAUUUUGUACAUGUGUAAGAUGUGACUUCUAAAAUAAAGAAUAUGUUAUUCAGUA